CCGCAUGGUUCAAAAGUGAAAGACGGUCUUGCUGUCACUUAUAGAUGGAUCCGCGCUGCAUUAGCUAGUUGGUAAGGUAACGGCUUACCAAGGCAACGAUGCAUAGCCGACCUGAGAGGGUGAUCGGCCACACUGGAACUGAGACACGGUCCAGACUCCUACGGGAGGCAGCAGUAGGGAAUCUUCCGCAAUGGGCGAAAGCCUGACGGAGCAACGCCGCGUGAGUGAUGAAGGUCUUCGGAUCGUAAAACUCUGUUAUUAGGGAAGAACAUAUGUGUAAGUAACUGUGCACAUCUUGACGGUACCUAAUCAGAAAGCCACGGCUAACUACGUGCCAGCAGCCGCGGUAAUACGUAGGUGGCAAGCGUUAUCCGGAAUUAUUGGGCGUAAAGCGCGCGUAGGCGGUUUUUUAAGUCUGAUGUGAAAGCCCACGGCUCAACCGUGGAGGGUCAUUGGAAACUGGAAAACUUGAGUGCAGAAGAGGAAAGUGGAAUUCCAUGUGUAGCGGUGAAAUGCGCAGAGAUAUGGAGGAACACCAGUGGCGAAGGCGACUUUCUGGUCUGUAACUGACGCUGAUGUGCGAAAGCGUGGGGAUCAAACAGGAUUAGAUACCCUGGUAGUCCACGCCGUAAACGAUGAGUGCUAAGUGUUAGGG
Molecule: ribosomal RNA, 655 nt
Filed under: Staphylococcus aureus
Lineage: Bacteria; Bacillati; Bacillota; Bacilli; Caryophanales; Staphylococcaceae
Description: bacterial SSU rRNA
Rfam family: Bacterial small subunit ribosomal RNA
Source: RNAcentral